This 2928-nucleotide ribosomal RNA is filed under the name Salmonella enterica subsp. enterica serovar Enteritidis str. SA20094521. Its description in RNAcentral is "bacterial LSU rRNA". It matches the Rfam family "Bacterial large subunit ribosomal RNA". The record is from RNAcentral. Lineage: Bacteria; Pseudomonadati; Pseudomonadota; Gammaproteobacteria; Enterobacterales; Enterobacteriaceae.
GGGUUGUGAGGUUAAGCGACUAAGCGUACACGGUGGAUGCCCUGGCAGUCAGAGGCGAUGAAGGGCGUGCUAAUCUGCGAUAAGCGCCGGUAAGGUGAUAUGAACCGUUAUAACCGGCGAUACCCGAAUGGGGAAACCCAGUGUGACUCGUCACACUAUCAUUAACUGAAUCCAUAGGUUAAUGAGGCGAACCGGGGGAACUGAAACAUCUAAGUACCCCGAGGAAAAGAAAUCAACCGAGAUUCCCCCAGUAGCGGCGAGCGAACGGGGAGGAGCCCAGAGCCUGAAUCAGCAUGUGUGUUAGUGGAAGCGUCUGGAAAGGCGCGCGAUACAGGGUGACAGCCCCGUACACAAAAGCGCAUGUGCUGUGAGCUCGAUGAGUAGGGCGGGACACGUGGUAUCCUGUCUGAAUAUGGGGGGACCAUCCUCCAAGGCUAAAUACUCCUGACUGACCGAUAGUGAACCAGUACCGUGAGGGAAAGGCGAAAAGAACCCCGGCGAGGGGAGUGAAAAAGAACCUGAAACCGUGUACGUACAAGCAGUGGGNNNNNNNNNNNNNNNNNNNNNNNNNNNNCCUUUUGUAUAAUGGGUCAGCGACUUAUAUUCUGUAGCAAGGUUAACCGAAUAGGGGAGCCGGAGGGAAACCGAGUCUUAAUUGGGCGUUAAGUUGCAGGGUAUAGACCCGAAACCCGGUGAUCUAGCCAUGGGCAGGUUGAAGGUUGGGUAACACUAACUGGAGGACCGAACCGACUAAUGUUGAAAAAUUAGCGGAUGACCUGUGGCUGGGGGUGAAAGGCCAAUCAAACCGGGAGAUAGCUGGUUCUCCCCGAAAGCUAUUUAGGUAGCGCCUCGUGAAUUCAUCUCCGGGGGUAGAGCACUGUUUCGGCUAGGGGGCCAUCCCGGCUUACCAACCCGAUGCAAACUGCGAAUACCGGAGAAUGUUAUCACGGGAGACACACGGCGGGUGCUAACGUCCGUCGUGAAGAGGGAAACAACCCAGACCGCCAGCUAAGGUCCCAAAGUCAUGGUUAAGUGGGAAACGAUGUGGGAAGGCCCAGACAGCCAGGAUGUUGGCUUAGAAGCAGCCAUCAUUUAAAGAAAGCGUAAUAGCUCACUGGUCGAGUCGGCCUGCGCGGAAGAUGUAACGGGGCUAAACCAUGCACCGAAGCUGCGGCAGCGACACUGUGUGUUGUUGGGUAGGGGAGCGUUCUGUAAGCCUGCGAAGGUGGCCUGUGAGGGUUGCUGGAGGUAUCAGAAGUGCGAAUGCUGACAUAAGUAACGAUAAAGCGGGUGAAAAGCCCGCUCGCCGGAAGACCAAGGGUUCCUGUCCAACGUUAAUCGGGGCAGGGUGAGUCGACCCCUAAGGCGAGGCCGAAAGGCGUAGUCGAUGGGAAACGGGUUAAUAUUCCCGUACUUGGUGUUACUGCGAAGGGGGGACGGAGAAGGCUAUGUUGGCCGGGCGACGGUUGUCCCGGUUUAAGCGUGUAGGUGUGUGUUCCAGGUAAAUCCGGUUCACUUUAACACUGAGGCGUGACGACGAGGCACUACGGUGCUGAAGCAACAAAUGCCCUGCUUCCAGGAAAAGCCUCUAAGCAUCAGGUAACAUCAAAUCGUACCCCAAACCGACACAGGUGGUCAGGUAGAGAAUACCAAGGCGCUUGAGAGAACUCGGGUGAAGGAACUAGGCAAAAUGGUGCCGUAACUUCGGGAGAAGGCACGCUGACACGUAGGUGAAGUGAUUUACUCAUGGAGCUGAAGUCAGUCGAAGAUACCAGCUGGCUGCAACUGUUUAUUAAAAACACAGCACUGUGCAAACACGAAAGUGGACGUAUACGGUGUGACGCCUGCCCGGUGCCGGAAGGUUAAUUGAUGGGGUCAGCGCAAGCGAAGCUCCUGAUCGAAGCCCCGGUAAACGGCGGCCGUAACUAUAACGGUCCUAAGGUAGCGAAAUUCCUUGUCGGGUAAGUUCCGACCUGCACGAAUGGCGUAAUGAUGGCCAGGCUGUCUCCACCCGAGACUCAGUGAAAUUGAACUCGCUGUGAAGAUGCAGUGUACCCGCGGCAAGACGGAAAGACCCCGUGAACCUUUACUAUAGCUUGACACUGAACAUUGAGCCUUGAUGUGUAGGAUAGGUGGGAGGCUUUGAAGUGUGGACGCCAGUCUGCAUGGAGCCGACCUUGAAAUACCACCCUUUAAUGUUUGAUGUUCUAACGUGGACCCGUUACCCGGGUUGCGGACAGUGUCUGGUGGGUAGUUUGACUGGGGCGGUCUCCUCCUAAAGAGUAACGGAGGAGCACGAAGGUUGGCUAAUCCUGGUCGGACAUCAGGAGGUUAGUGCAAUGGCAUAAGCCAGCUUGACUGCGAGCGUGACGGCGCGAGCAGGUGCGAAAGCAGGUCAUAGUGAUCCGGUGGUUCUGAAUGGAAGGGCCAUCGCUCAACGGAUAAAAGGUACUCCGGGGAUAACAGGCUGAUACCGCCCAAGAGUUCAUAUCGACGGCGGUGUUUGGCACCUCGAUGUCGGCUCAUCACAUCCUGGGGCUGAAGUAGGUCCCAAGGGUAUGGCUGUUCGCCAUUUAAAGUGGUACGCGAGCUGGGUUUAGAACGUCGUGAGACAGUUCGGUCCCUAUCUGCCGUGGGCGCUGGAGAACUGAGGGGGGCUGCUCCUAGUACGAGAGGACCGGAGUGGACGCAUCACUGGUGUUCGGGUUGUCAUGCCAAUGGCACUGCCCGGUAGCUAAAUGCGGAAGAGAUAAGUGCUGAAAGCAUCUAAGCACGAAACUUGCCCCGAGAUGAGUUCUCCCUGAGACUUAAAGUCUCCUGAAGGAACGUUGAAGACGACGACGUUGAUAGGCCGGGUGUGUAAGCGCAGCGAUGCGUUGAGCUAACCGGUACUAAUGAACCGUGAGGCUUAACCUUACAACGCCGAAG